RNAcentral lists this unclassified non-coding RNA (244 nucleotides) under uncultured fungus. RNAcentral's name for it is "sequence contains ITS1". The record is from RNAcentral. Lineage: Eukaryota; Fungi.
UUGUUUACGUUUCAUAGUCACGGCAGGUGAGGGUUAGUCACACGGCCUUAUGAAUCGUCACGAUCAAAAUGUUUGGCGGUUAUCACACUCGAUUGCUCAAGCGGAUGUAAAAUGUGGGUCGUGAGGCCCCGGAGGACUUCACUUCCCAGAAAACAGAAACGUUCCACGGUACGCAAACGGGAGUUCGUGAAAACUCCCGAGUUUUGGUGUGGUAAUGAUCCUUCCGCAGGUUCACCUACGGAAA